This 408-nucleotide ribosomal RNA is filed under the name uncultured bacterium. RNAcentral describes it as "partial 16S ribosomal RNA". It matches the Rfam family "Bacterial small subunit ribosomal RNA", at positions 29 to 526 of the family's 1533-position model. The record is from RNAcentral.
AGUGAACGCUGGCGGCGUGCCUAAUACAUGCAAGUCGAACGGAGUGGCGCACGGGUGAGUAAUAUAUAGCUAAUCUGCCCCUUGCUGGAGGACAACAGUUAGAAAUGACUGCUAAUACUCCAUAGAAAGGGAUGAGACUAUAUCGUAUCAGCUAGUCGGUGGGGUAACGGCCUACUGAGGUGAUGAUGCGUAACUGGUCUGAGAGGAGGAUCAGUCAGAUUGGAAGUGAGAAACGGUACAAACUCCUACGGGAGACAGCAGUAGGGAAUAUUGCGCAAUGGGGGAGACCCUGACGCAGCAACGCCGCGUGGAGGAUGAAACUUUUCGGAGCAUAAAGUCCGUUUGUAAGGGAAGCGGUACCUAACGAAUAAGCACCGGCUAACUCCGUGCCAGCAGCCGCGGUAAUUC